This is a long non-coding RNA of Anneissia japonica, 1972 nucleotides long. RefSeq lists it as uncharacterized. The transcript is spliced from 2 exons. Lineage: Eukaryota; Metazoa; Echinodermata; Crinoidea; Comatulida; Comatulidae. The record is from RefSeq and is a predicted model, not a curated record.
UUUAAGAUGCUGGAUACACGCUUAAUUCCAACAUAUAAAUUUGGUAAACAGGACAAAUUUACAUAAUUUCUGCUCUGACCAUAUAUAACAGUACAUGUGAUUGGAUAUACAAGUUCAUCAAAUACUAUAUCCAAAUUGUAAAUCAUCAAGCACCUAUUAUAUUAAAAUUAAUUCUUCCAUGAUCAUGCCUUGUUUAAACAGAUAAUACAUUUUUUUAAAAUCCCAAUUCAACUAGAAUGAUUAACUGUAACUUACUUAUUUCAGAAUAAGAGGGGAGAUAAAUACUGCAGAUGGUAAUACUGAAAAGACCUUGACAAACUCUUAAUCCAAAUCCACCUUUUGCAGCAUUUUAAGAUCAUUCCAAAGCAACACCACCAAGAAACUUUUUGGAAAUCUACUGAUUUGAUCACUUCACCAUAUUUGGACAAAUUUAUAAAUGUUUGAUUUGUUUUAUGGUUUCAAUCAUCAUCAUCCCCUUUCUGUCACAAUGGAAUUAUCUUACAGGCAUACUAGGCAUGACAAUACUGGGAUUGUAAAACUGAAGGGACUCUGGCUUCAAUUUAAAAUUAUCACUUUUAAUACCACGUCCAAUCUUGCAAACAAUGCAAUUAAUUACAUCUAUGGAGCAAGGAGGAAUGAGACGGACAUAAACAUUUUUGUGAGUGACUAGUCACUACUGCUGCUGGUGCUAGUGCUACGUGAGCGUGACCUGCUACUAUACGACCGUCUAAGCGAGCUACCACUAGAAGAACUUCUUGAAGACGAAGAGGUUGAACUUUGGUUCCUUCUGCCCCAUGGGGAUGCUCUGCUCCAACUUCGAGAUCGACUUCUACAAUAAAAAUACAUAGAGAAAAAAAAAUUCUUCACUGCAUAUAAGGGAGUGGCUGCUGUAGUGCAUGUGGUUACAACCACCACUGUACAUUGAAUGGUAAAGGUAAAGGUAGGUGGUUUGAUGAUUAAUGGAACCAAAAACAAAGUUAAAAAAAAUUGCAAUGCAAGAAUCGUGUCAAAAGGUGCAGCAGAAUACCUUACAACUAUUAUACAAAAUGGUUAAAACCCCCCUGGACACCACAGGUACAGGAACACCACAACCCUCAUCCCCUCAGACAAAUCAGAAACAUCCUGGAUCUGACAUAACACCUGCAUUACAUGAUAUUUAGACUGAAGAUUACAGUACAAUCAUUACUACCAACCCAUAAAAUUGUUUGUGUCCUUGGGCAAAGCAUUUUACAUAGUCUUUUCACCAUGGUGUAGUGUGGAUACCUAGUAGGUUGAAAUGCCAACGAUUUACUAUGCUGCAAAAUACACUAUUGAUUAAUUCUGCCACAGGGUGCCAAGAGCCAAUGAUCAGAGAUUUAAUGUGAAGCACACAGAGACCUUUAAUUUAAUUAAUUUCAUAUAUAAUACUGACAAAUUAUGAUGACAAUAACACAUGGUUAUUACUCUUGUCAUAAGUUAGUAGUUAAGUUUGGACAACCACAACACAAGGAAGGCAGUUUUUUUUGUAAGAACAUUUAUUUCCAAUUAAAAGUAAUAAAAAAGGUUAAAAAGUGUUCAGAGCAACUGAUUGGUAUUUAUGCUUUCCAACAAUAGGCACCAGAGACGACCCUUCAAUAUUGUGUUUUUUCUUACCACUACCAGUGACUGAGACACCCAAUAACGAUGACAGAGAUACUGAUAUCGGAAACAGACCUACCAAUAUCAAUGACAUUUACUACAUUGCUACCAGUGACAGACAUACCUAUACCAGAGAUGACAAUACUGAAAUCAGUAUUAAACAGUGUGGAUCUUUAUCAGAUCACAUAAUUUAUGUAUGGUGCACAUUUUAGCUUGCAAAAGCAGGACUAGAUGUAUCUAUGCUUUUAUCACAGUAAAAAGCUUCAAUGAUCAUUAGUUGGAAUUUGUUCUUUUUUUCUACUCUUAUAAAUCCAUCACAACAAAAAUUUACAUCUUAUACUGUAAUUAAAAAAAA